UUGGAGGGCAAGUCUGGUGCCAGCAGCCGCGGUAAUUCCAGCUCCAAUAGCGUAUAUUUAAGUUGUUGCAGUUAAAAAGCUCGUAGUUGAAUUUCGGGAUUGGCGCAUCGGUCGUGCCUCACGGGGUAUGAACUGGUGCAGUCAAUUUCUCACCCUCUGGAGAACCGCGAUGUCCUUAAUUGGAUGCCGCGGGGAACCAGGACCUUUACUUUGAGAAAAUUAGAGUGUUUAAAGCAGGCAUUUUUGCUUGAAUACAUUAGCAUGGAAUAAUAAAAUAGGACGGCAUGGUUCUAUUUUGUUGGUUUCUAGGACCACCGUAAUGAUUAAUAGGGAUAGUUGGGGGCAUUAGUAUUCAAUUGUCAGAGGUGAAAUUCUUGGAUUUAUUGAAGACUAACUACUGCGAAAGCAUUUGCCAAGGAUGUUUUCAUUAAUCAAGAACGAAAGUUAGGGGAUCGAAGACGAUCAGAUACCGUCGUAGUCUUAACCAUAAACUAUGCCGACUAGGAAUCAGACGAUGUUAAUUUUUUAAUGACUCGUUUGGCACCUUACGGGAAAC
RNAcentral lists this ribosomal RNA (556 nucleotides) under uncultured Glomus. RNAcentral describes it as "SSU rRNA". It matches the Rfam family "Eukaryotic small subunit ribosomal RNA", at positions 548 to 1098 of the family's 1831-position model. The record is from RNAcentral. Lineage: Eukaryota; Fungi; Glomeromycota; Glomeromycetes; Glomerales; Glomeraceae.